UGUCGAUGAAAAGAACGCAGCAAACUGUGCGUCAUCGUGUGAACUGCAGGACACAUGAACAUCGACAUUUUGAACGCAUAUCGCAGUCCAUGCUGUUAUGUACUUUAAUUAACGUUAGAGUGCUGCUUGGACUACAUAUGGUUGAGGGUUGUAAGACUAUGCUAAAUAAGUUGUUUAAAAUUUAUAUAAAUUUUAAGCAUAUGGUAUAUUAUUGGAUAAUAUGUAUACAUGUAUACAAUAUAUUCAUAAUAUGAAAUUUAUAUGAAAAUACAUCUCAAUAUAAAAAUUGUAUGAGAAAAAUGAAGAAUUAUAAAUUCUUUUUUCAAUUCAAUUAAUACUGAGGAAUGUCUAGCAUAAAAAAUUUGAUUAUUUUUCAUCUAGAAUUGCCUCUUAUUACUGAUGCGAUAAAGAAAACUUUUGUGAAUAUUAUGGACCUUCAUUCGUAUUUAUCAUAUUGUUGAAAUAUUUAAUAUUUCAAUAUAACAUUGUUUUAUACAACCUCAACUCAUAUGGGACUACCCCCUGAAUUUAAGCAUAUUAAUUAGGGGAGGAAAAGAAACUAACAAGGAUUUUCUUAGUAGCGGCGAGCGAAAAGAAAUCAGUUCAGCACUAAGUCACUUUGUCUAUAUGGCAAAUGUGAGAUGCAGUGUAUGGAACAUCAAUAUUCUAGUAUGAGAAAUUAACGAUUUAAGUCCUUCUUAAAUGAGGCCAUUUACCCAUAGAGGGUGCUAGGCCCGUAUAACGUUGAUGAUUACUAGAUGGUGUUUCCAAAGAGUCGUGUUGCUUGAUAGUGCAGCACUAAGUGGGUGGUAAACUCCAUCUAAAACUAAAUAUAACCAUGAGACCGAUAGUAAACAAGUACCGUGAGGGAAAGUUGAAAAGAACUCUGAAUAGAGAGUUAAAUAGUACGUGAAACUGCUUAGAGGUUAAGCCCGAUGAACCUGAAUAUCCGUUAUGGAAAAUUCAUCAUUAGAAUUGUAAUAUUUAAACAAUAUUAUAAGGAUAGUGUGCAUUUUUUCCAUAUAAGGACAUUGUAAUCUAUUAGUAUAACCCCAUAUUUAUCAAAAAAUUAUGGCUUAUAGUUUAUUUAAAUUAAAAUGCUUGCGUUUUAACACAAAAUAAAUGUCAUAAAUUUGAUAAAGUACUGAUAGACUUAUAUGACUACAGUGCGUUAAUUCUUCGGAAUUAUAUAAUGGCAUGAUUAUCAUUGAUUUUUGUGUUUAUUAUAUGCACUUGUACGAUUAACAAUGCGAAAGAUUCAGGAUACCUUCGGGACCCGUCUUGAAACACGGACCAAGGAGUCUAACAUAUGUGCAAGUUAUUGGGAUAUAAACCUAAUAGCGUAAUUAACUUGACUAAUAAUGGGAUUAGUUUUUUAACUAUUUAUAGUUAAUUAACACAAUCCCAGGGCGUUCUUUAUAGUUAUGUAUAAUAGUAUUUAUAUUAUUUAUGCCUCUAACUGGAACGUACCUUGAGCAUUUAUGCUGUGACCCGAAAGAUGGUGAACUAUACUUGAUCAGGUUGAAGUCAGGGGAAACCCUGAUGGAAGACCGAAACAGUUCUGACGUGCAAAUCGAUUGUCAGAAUUGAGUAUAGGGGCGAAAGACCAAUCGAACCAUCUAGUAGCUGGUUCCCUUCCGA
RNAcentral lists this ribosomal RNA (1641 nucleotides) under Zaprionus indianus. Its description in RNAcentral is "eukaryotic LSU rRNA". The stretch from base 496 to 1641 matches the Rfam family "Eukaryotic large subunit ribosomal RNA", at positions 1 to 964 of the family's 3401-position model. Lineage: Eukaryota; Metazoa; Arthropoda; Insecta; Diptera; Drosophilidae. The record is from RNAcentral.